GACGAACGCUGGCGGCGUGCUUAACACAUGCAAGUCGAGCGGUAAGGCCCUUUCGGGGGUACACGAGCGGCGAACGGGUGAGUAACACGUGGGUGACCUGCCCUCAGCUCUGGGAGUAAGCCCGGGAAACUAGGGUCUAAUACUGGAUAUGACUCCAUGACGCAUGUUGUGGGUGGAAAGCCUUGUGCGGCUGGGGAUGGGCCCGCGGCCUAUCAGCUUGUUGGUGGGGUGGAUGGCCUACCAAGGCGACGACGGGUAGCCGGCCUGAGAGGGCGACCGGCCACACUGGGACUGAGACACGGCCCAGACUCCUACGGGAGGCAGCAGUGGGGAAUCUUGCGCAAUGGGCGAAAGCCUGACGCAGCGACGCCGCGUGAGGGAUGACGGCCU
Molecule: ribosomal RNA, 390 nt
Filed under: uncultured bacterium
Lineage: Bacteria
Description: bacterial SSU rRNA
Rfam family: Bacterial small subunit ribosomal RNA
Source: RNAcentral